CCACCUUCUAGUAAGAGGUUCACUUUCACCAACCUUAGAAAAUCCUGUAAUUGACUGGGAUUCAUUUACUCUAGUUGUCUAUUUCUUUGGCAUAAAAUGAAAGUGGUGUAAAACACAUGCUCAUCAUGUUGAAUUCUUGCCUGCAGUAUUGGUGGUCUAAGCUAUUUAAACUUAAGAAGACACUAGAAGCAUCUGGAGUUCACUAGGAAAUUGGCUAUUGGGAUGAAACUCAGAAUGUACUUUAUUGUGAAAAUUGAAUUUUGUGAAGGACAAGCUGCCUGUUAGAAGGAAAGAGAAUUAUGAGAAGGUAAAUUAAGAGUUCACUUGACUUCCUAAGACAUGAGAGAGGAGAAUCACGGAUUCAAGGAUGGAUCUCGAGUGGAUCAAAGAAAUCCGAUGUGAAGGUACCAUCAAAGCAAGGAGACUUUUUUGAGAUAAAGAUCAAGGAUAAUAAGGCUAAGAGCUACAAGUUCUUCCUAUAGCAUAGCAAGAAAGAGCAGUCAUUCGUACCAAAAUUAAAAAAAGAACAGUCACUAGAGACAAAUCAUAUUACAAACUACUAAUAUUACUCUCAAAAUCGGAACAGGACCUAUUAGAGUCAAAUUGUUCUCUUGUGGGCUAAAAAAUUAAAGCAGGCAGCAUGGA
This 645-nucleotide long non-coding RNA is filed under the name Elaeis guineensis (African oil palm). RNAcentral's name for it is "long non-coding RNA (EGUI_LNC003910)". The record is from RNAcentral. Lineage: Eukaryota; Viridiplantae; Streptophyta; Magnoliopsida; Arecales; Arecaceae.